RNAcentral lists this ribosomal RNA (400 nucleotides) under phytoplankton environmental sample. RNAcentral describes it as "partial small subunit ribosomal RNA". It matches the Rfam family "Eukaryotic small subunit ribosomal RNA", at positions 587 to 987 of the family's 1831-position model. The record is from RNAcentral.
AGCUCCAAUAGCGUAUAUUAAAGUUGUUGCAGUUAAAAAGCUCGUAGUUGGAUUUCUGGUAGGAGCGGCCGGUCCGCCCCGUAAUGGGGUGUGCACUAGAGCCGCCUCCGGCCAUCCUUGGGGGAACUGCCAUGGCCUUAAUUGGUUGUGGUAUGGAACCCAUCGUUUACUGUGAAAAAAUUAGAGUGUUUAAAGCAGGCUUAGGCCGUUGAAUACAUUAGCAUGGAAUAAUAAGAUAGGACCUUAUGGACCUCUUGUUGGUUUGCGCCGUAAGGUAAUGAUUAAUAGGGAUAGUUGGGGGUAUUCGUAUUUAAUUGUCAGAGGUGAAAUUCUUGGAUUUAUGAAAGACGAACUUCUGCGAAAGCAUUUACCAAGGAUGUUUUCAUUAAUCAAGAACGAA